Long non-coding RNA from Nannospalax galili (Upper Galilee mountains blind mole rat), 288 nucleotides. RefSeq lists it as uncharacterized. NCBI's taxonomy places the organism in Eukaryota, Metazoa, Chordata, Mammalia, Rodentia, Spalacidae. The transcript is spliced from 3 exons. The record is from RefSeq and is a predicted model, not a curated record.
UUGGAUUCCUGGAACGGCGCCGGUGACCUCACGCCAGUGACUUCACAUCCGGAACCUUCUGGGAAUUCUCAGCCACACUUUUUCGUUCACAUGUUGAGGUGGUCUGACAAAUUGUUGGGACUGGGAAAUUUCUUCCUGGAAGACAAGUUCCUCCUCUGACUGGCAUCAGAGCUUCAGGCUUUUCCUCCCUCCACAAUGAGAUUCCUGGGGAAAUUCCAAUUUCUUAGGAUCCAUAGCCUAAGGCAAGGUACAAAAAGUAAGCUGAGCACCAGCAUUCAUCGCUCUCUG